AUACGGAGGGUGCAAGCGUUAAUCGGAAUUACUGGGCGUAAAGCGCACGCAGGCGGGAUGGUAAGUCAGACGUGAAAUCCCCGGGCGCAACCUGGGAACUGCACCUGAUACUGGCAAGCUUGAGUAUCGUCGAGGGGGGUAGAAUUUCAGGGGGAGCGGUGAAAAGCGUAGAGAUGUGGAGGAAUACCGGUGGCGAAGGCGGCCCCCUGGACGAAGCCUGACGCUCAGGUGCGAAAGCGUGGGGAGCAAACAGGAUUAGAUACCCUGGUAGUCCACGCCGUAAACGAUGUCGACUUGGAGGUUGUGCCCUUGAGGCGUGGCUUCCGGAGCUAACGCGUUAAGUCGACCGCCUGGGGAGUACGGCCGCAAGGUUAAAACUCAAAUGAAUUGACGGGG
Molecule: ribosomal RNA, 396 nt
Filed under: uncultured bacterium
Lineage: Bacteria
Description: partial 16S ribosomal RNA
Rfam family: Bacterial small subunit ribosomal RNA
Source: RNAcentral